RNAcentral lists this long non-coding RNA (517 nucleotides) under Olea europaea subsp. europaea. Lineage: Eukaryota; Viridiplantae; Streptophyta; Magnoliopsida; Lamiales; Oleaceae. The record is from RNAcentral.
AUCAAAUUAGGGCUGGCAUUAAGAAUAUUACUUAAAAAAAAAAAAAAAAAAAAAGAACUGUUAUUAGCAAAAUUAAGAAGGCGUUUGUUUCUCAUUUUUGCAAAAAUUUGAAUGAAAAAUAUGGUCGUCAUGGGCCCCACACAAUAGAUGAAAAUUUAAAUUUGGUGACUUGAUGUGAUGGAUAAUGAUUAUAUUUUUAUUUUAAUGGAGAAAGAAUGAGAAACAAACAGGGGUUUAGUUCAUAAAUCUGGGAAACUUUUUACAGAGGCAACUUUUUCUACUUCAAAACACUUGCAUUUUGCUAUAAAUAACCAAUAAUUUAUUGAAAAAUAUUAUUUGCAAUUGCUCACUAAUGAAGUUGUCCUAUGUGGCAUACAUGCAUCAAAUCACUAACCGUCACAUUAUGCCAUACAUCAAAUCAUUUACUACUACAUAUAUAUCAUGCGGGGUGACUACAGUACUGAACAGCUGCAAAUAGUAUUAUUUUAAUUUAAUUUAAAGCCUCUUUUGAGGAAAG